AAAUUGAAGAGUUUGAUCAUGGCUCAGAUUGAACGCUGGCGGCAGGCCUAACACAUGCAAGUCGAACGGUAACAGGAAACAGCUUGCUGUUUCGCUGACGAGUGGCGGACGGGUGAGUAAUGUCUGGGAAACUGCCUGAUGGAGGGGGAUAACUACUGGAAACGGUAGCUAAUACCGCAUAAUGUCGCAAGACCAAAGAGGGGGACCUUCGGGCCUCUUGCCAUCGGAUGUGCCCAGAUGGGAUUAGCUUGUUGGUGGGGUAACGGCUCACCAAGGCGACGAUCCCUAGCUGGUCUGAGAGGAUGACCAGCCACACUGGAACUGAGACACGGUCCAGACUCCUACGGGAGGCAGCAGUGGGGAAUAUUGCACAAUGGGCGCAAGCCUGAUGCAGCCAUGCCGCGUGUAUGAAGAAGGCCUUCGGGUUGUAAAGUACUUUCAGCGGGGAGGAAGGGAGUAAAGUUAAUACCUUUGCUCAUUGACGUUAUCCGCAGAAGAAGCACCGGCUAACUCCGUGCCAGCAGCCGCGGUAAUACGGAGGGUGCAAGCGUUAAUCGGAAUUACUGGGCGUAAAGCGCACGCAGGCGGUUUGUUAAGUCAGAUGUGAAAUCCCCGGGCUCAACCUGGGAACUGCAUCUGAUACUGGCAAGCUUGAGUCUCGUAGAGGGGGGUAGAAUUCCAGGUGUAGCGGUGAAAUGCGUAGAGAUCUGGAGGAAUACCGGUGGCGAAGGCGGCCCCCUGGACGAAGACUGACGCUCAGGUGCGAAAGCGUGGGGAGCAAACAGGAUUAGAUACCCUGGUAGUCCACGCCGUAAACGAUGUCGACUUGGAGGUUGUGCCCUUGAGGCGUGGCUUCCGGAGCUAACGCGUUAAGUCGACCGCCUGGGGAGUACGGCCGCAAGGUUAAAACUCAAAUGAAUUGACGGGGGCCCGCACAAGCGGUGGAGCAUGUGGUUUAAUUCGAUGCAACGCGAAGAACCUUACCUGGUCUUGACAUCCACGGAAGUUUUCAGAGAUGAGAAUGUGCCUUCGGGAACCGUGAGACAGGUGCUGCAUGGCUGUCGUCAGCUCGUGUUGUGAAAUGUUGGGUUAAGUCCCGCAACGAGCGCAACCCUUAUCCUUUGUUGCCAGCGGUCCGGCCGGGAACUCAAAGGAGACUGCCAGUGAUAAACUGGAGGAAGGUGGGGAUGACGUCAAGUCAUCAUGGCCCUUACGACCAGGGCUACACACGUGCUACAAUGGCGCAUACAAAGAGAAGCGACCUCGCGAGAGCAAGCGGACCUCAUAAAGUGCGUCGUAGUCCGGAUUGGAGUCUGCAACUCGACUCCAUGAAGUCGGAAUCGCUAGUAAUCGUGGAUCAGAAUGCCACGGUGAAUACGUUCCCGGGCCUUGUACACACCGCCCGUCACACCAUGGGAGUGGGUUGCAAAAGAAGUAGGUAGCUUAACCUUCGGGAGGGCGCUUACCACUUUGUGAUUCAUGACUGGGGUGAAGUCGUAACAAGGUAACCGUAGGGGAACCUGCGGUUGGAUCACCUCCUUA
This 1542-nucleotide ribosomal RNA is filed under the name Shigella boydii CDC 3083-94. RNAcentral's name for it is "Bacterial small subunit ribosomal RNA". It matches the Rfam family "Bacterial small subunit ribosomal RNA". Lineage: Bacteria; Pseudomonadati; Pseudomonadota; Gammaproteobacteria; Enterobacterales; Enterobacteriaceae. The record is from Rfam by way of RNAcentral.